RNAcentral lists this ribosomal RNA (253 nucleotides) under uncultured bacterium. Its description in RNAcentral is "partial 16S ribosomal RNA". It matches the Rfam family "Bacterial small subunit ribosomal RNA", at positions 524 to 776 of the family's 1533-position model. The record is from RNAcentral.
UACAGAGGGUGCAAGCGUUGCUCGGAAUUAUUGGGCGUAAAGGGUAGGUAGGUGGUCUCAUUUGUCAGGGGUGAAAGCCCUGGGCUUAACCCAGGAAGUGCCCUUGAAACGGUGGGACUAGAGUACUGGAGAGGGUCGUGGAAUUCCCGGUGUAGCGGUGAAAUGCGUAGAGAUCGGGAGGAACAUCUGAGGCGAAGGCGACGACCUGGACAGUAACUGACACUCAACUACGAAAGCGUGGGGAUCAAACAGG